Molecule: non-coding RNA, 74 nt
Organism: Pangasianodon gigas (Mekong giant catfish)
Lineage: Eukaryota; Metazoa; Chordata; Actinopteri; Siluriformes; Pangasiidae
Source: the annotation of a GenBank genome assembly
GGCAGUGUUAGCUCAGUGGAUAAGACAUUGGUCUUCUGAUUGGAAGGUUGUGAGAUCAAGUCCCAGCACUGCUG